UACGGAGGGGGCUAGCGUUGUUCGGAAUUACUGGGCGUAAAGCGCGCGUAGGCGGCUUUGCAAGUUAGAGGUGAAAGCCCGGAGCUUAACUCCGGAACUGCCUUUAAAACUGCAUCGCUUGAAUCAUGGAGAGGUUAGUGGAAUUCCGAGUGUAGAGGUGGAAUUCGUAGAUAUUCGGAAGAACACCAGUGGCGAAGGCGACUAACUGGACAUGUAUUGACGCUGAGGUGCGAAAGCGUGGGGAGCAAACAGG
This 253-nucleotide ribosomal RNA is filed under the name uncultured bacterium. Its description in RNAcentral is "partial 16S ribosomal RNA". It matches the Rfam family "Bacterial small subunit ribosomal RNA", at positions 524 to 776 of the family's 1533-position model. The record is from RNAcentral.